This 327-nucleotide ribosomal RNA is filed under the name uncultured eukaryote. Its description in RNAcentral is "partial 18S ribosomal RNA". It matches the Rfam family "Eukaryotic small subunit ribosomal RNA", at positions 1470 to 1796 of the family's 1831-position model. The record is from RNAcentral.
CCCUUAGAUGUUCUGGGCCGCACGCGCGCUACACUGACGGAUUCAACGAGCUUACAACCUUGGCCGAAAGGUCUGGGUAAUCUCCAAAAUCCGUCGUGAUGGGGAUAGAUUAUUGCAAUUAUUAAUCUUCAACGAGGAAUGCCUAGUAAGCGCAAGUCAUCAGCUUGCGUUGAUUACGUCCCUGCCCUUUGUACACACCGCCCGUCGCUCCUACCGAUUGAAUGGUCCGGUGAAGCGUUUGGACUAUGGUUUUCUGGUGGUCCGCCGUUGGAUUACCGUGGGAAGUUCGUUAAACCUUAUCAUUUAGAGGAAGGAGAAGUCGUAACA